RNAcentral lists this ribosomal RNA (468 nucleotides) under uncultured bacterium. RNAcentral's name for it is "partial 16S ribosomal RNA". It matches the Rfam family "Bacterial small subunit ribosomal RNA", at positions 28 to 507 of the family's 1533-position model. The record is from RNAcentral.
GACGAACGCUGGCGGCGCGCCUGACACAUGCAAGUCGAACGGAGUCAAGAGGAGCUUGCUUUUCUUGACUUAGUGGCGAACGGGUGAGUAACGCGUGAGUAACCUGCCCUGGAGUGGGGGACAACAGUUGGAAACGACUGCUAAUACCGCAUAAGCCCACGGAUCUGCAUGGAUCUGCGGGAAAAGGAUUUAUUCGCUCUAGGAUGGACUCGCGUCCAAUUAGCUAGUUGGUGAGGUAACGGCCCACCAAGGCGACGAUUGGUAGCCGGACUGAGAGGUUGAACGGCCACAUUGGGACUGAGACACGGCCCAGACUCCUACGGGAGGCAGCAGUGGGGGAUAUUGCACAAUGGGGGAAACCCUGAUGCAGCGACGCCGCGUGGAGGAAGAAGGUUUUCGGAUUGUAAACUCCUGUCGUUAGGGACGAUAAUGACGGUACCUAACAAGAAAGCACCAGCUAACUACGUG